AGCAAUCACUCAAAUGGUAUGAUAAUCAUACUAUAUAUCCAACAACUAUGCCACAAUGUUUGUUGCAUACGUUUUUUGCAAUUUGAGGUUUGCCUUAUACUUCUGAUUUUCGCGUAUAAAAAGGGUAUAUAAUUAGCUUUAUACAGUGUCGAGGUGUUAAAAUUUAUGAAAUUAUUGUUUACCGGUCUAUAGAAAUUCGAAUAGUAUUGUUGGACAAUUCAGAACCGAUGGGAAAGGGAAAAGCAAGCAAGCGAGAGAGAAAUAGAGGGGAGAUUACCAUCCGCAAGCCAGCAUUUGAUUCGUAUUAAUUAACCGAUGGCCAGUGUGGCGGCCAGCGGGCCUCUGAUCGUCGGAUAAUUAUUACCGAGGUUACGAGUGUACAUGUGCAGCGAGCCGGAUAACGACGACGACCAACAGACAGCGAGAGGGAGAGAAGACCACCUCCGGCGCUCUAUUUCGGCUGUCAGCAAGGGUAGACACGGAAAAUCCUUGUCACUAUUGAAAUGGACGAAGUCAACAUAUACGAUAUCAAAUAAUACCUAAAAGUUAACGCAACUAAAGGAAAAAUAACGACUCGACUGCAGACAUACAUAAGAAAUUCUCAGACGCACGCGUUAGGCCAGACAUACCGGCGUGGGUAAGCAGACGAGCAGAAGGCGGAAAUAGGAAGGGGAAUCAGCACAUGGCUGGACUAUCCCCUCCAUCGCCUGACUAUUCGUGAGCUAAUGCUAGUUUCAUCUGGUACAUAGGAGCCGAGUAAAUUUUAGAAUCAAGUGACUGUAUAACCGUCAACGAAAGCUUCAAUCAAGUAUCCACAAUCUUAUAACGCGAAACCAGAGAGUGAAUGGAGAGGAAGUCAAGAGAAUAAAAAGCGAAAUAAAAUGUGUAAUCAAAGCAAAUGAACUUGAGUUUCGAAAAGAAGCGAAUAAAGAAUGGAGCACGCCAAUUGAAAAAAUUAA
Nasonia vitripennis (jewel wasp) is the source of this 959-nucleotide long non-coding RNA. RefSeq lists it as uncharacterized. The transcript is spliced from 3 exons. NCBI's taxonomy places the organism in Eukaryota, Metazoa, Arthropoda, Insecta, Hymenoptera, Pteromalidae. The record is from RefSeq and is a predicted model, not a curated record.